Seriola aureovittata is the source of this 2183-nucleotide long non-coding RNA. RefSeq lists it as uncharacterized. The record is from RefSeq and is a predicted model, not a curated record. NCBI's taxonomy places the organism in Eukaryota, Metazoa, Chordata, Actinopteri, Carangiformes, Carangidae. The transcript has 7 exons.
GCGGCCAGUACUGCAGCUAUGGGAGUGUGUCAUCUUCCGCAAUGUGACGUGUCCAUGUUAAUGCAGAGUGUCCCCUGUGGGACAGGGAAGAGGCUGAGCCCUGCAGAACUGCAGAAUGAGCUGUUUGCUCAUGAUACUUUAGGUCAAACAUUCUCCUCCCAGCAGUCAAGGCUGAUGAUUUCACGGAAACUGUGUAGAGAGCCACAGCUAACUCUCAGCUAGUGGACAUUCAAAGUAGGCCUACUGUAUAUUACACAGUGAAAAUUAUAGACUAACAUUAUUAGUGCUGUAUAUAAAAGAUAAACAGAAUAUAAAACAGUUUGCAUUUGUCCUUCCGUGCUGCUUCACCAUUAGUAUCUGAACAGACAGAAACUGAAAGGACAAGACAUCGCAGACUACACUGUUUACACAAUUUUAAAUUUGAGAUGUUCUUUGCUACUUGAGUGCAGGAGGAGGAGAUAAAAGAGCGGGCCAAGACCAGAAACGGAGACAGCAGGAGCCUGGGGAGUCAGAGCGAACAGGGACCUAUGUGGGAACAAUGGAUGUACAAUUAACGUGGGCCAGGCACGAGAGAGCAAGCGUUUGAUGUUCCUGUUGAGUGGCCUCCUUGCUGAGGUUCAGAAAAAGCAGCAGCAUUACCACCAUCUACAAAGUAGUGUGAAGCUACAGCCCCCAGCUGCCUCCACUUCAGAGGGAGAGGGCAUGUCAAAACAGCACAUGGCUCUGCCCUGCCAAAGUCACGCCUGCAAGUGGAGCACUCUCACGGGUCAUCUGGAGUGACAGAAAUGCUGCAGCCCUCUGUUCUGUUUUCUGAGGCCCGGGAGACAAGAUGGGUGUCAUUAGCUACAACUGUAGGAUGAUUCUUUCCAUUGAUCCUGACUCACCCUGUUGUGCUGGAAAUGUGAACCCAUUCCCAUCCCAGACGGAGAUCCAGGGUAGGAGCUGGGUGCCAGCUGUGUGGUGGCAGAAGUAGGGAAGACUAAGAUGUGUGUACAGGAAGCAUCCUGAGGCGUGUUCAGCUGCGAGGUCUGCAGGUUCAGAGCAGUGCUGCGUCCAAACACUGAGCCCAUGGUCACUGCAUCUGGACACACACAUACAGAAACACAGCACAGCACUGAGCUCCUGGAAGAAGGCCCGGGCUGCAGCCAGCAGAGAGGGGCUAUUAGGGCACAGUACCACAUAGGCCACAUCCCGCUGCCCCCCAUAAGGCUCCAGUAACAACUUCUCCCAGAAAGCAGUGUUACAGCAACAACAACCUCUCCUUGAAUGUGGAGAAGACAGAGGAGAUGGUAGUCGACUUCAGGAAAGAUUGCAGCGUGCACGCCCCACUGACCAUCAACGGCCCUGCUGUAGAAAAAGUCAGCAGUACUAAGUUCUUGGGGUGCACAUCGCUGAUGACCUGACCUGGUCAAUCAACACCACAGCCCUCACCAAAAAAGCCCAGCAGCGCCUCUACUUCCUGCAGAAACCUAAAAAAGCAAAUUCCCCCUCAUCCAUCAUGAACACUGAACCAUCGAAAGCAUCCUGACACACAGCAUCACCAUCUGGUACAGGAACUGAAGUCCCUGCAAAGAAUAAUGUGAGUGGAAGAGAAGAUCUCAGGUGUCUUCUCUCCCCUCAGUGGCAUCUACACAGGAAGGCCACUGAAAAACUGUCUGACCCCUACCACCACUCCCACCUCUUUGCACUCUUGCCAUCUGGAAGGAGGCUCCAGAGCAUCCGUGCAAGGUCCAUGAGACUAUGUAAUAGCUUUUAUCCACAAGCCAUGAGGACUAUGAACUCCCUGAAAAUGCUGCCCCCCAUCCCCGCCCCCAACACCAUGUGACCAUGUGACAUGCACAUAACAUGCACCAGCACUCUAGGUGUCCACUUAACUUAAUGCUUCUCUCUUUUCAUGAUUUUUUAAUGUUUUUAUGCCACACUUGUAUUGUGUCCUGUGUAUUAUGUGUCUUUUGUUGUUUUUAAAUGUGAAAUGCACCCUGAUUUCUAUUGUUAUAAUAUAUUGUAUUUCACUUCCAUGUAUGUUGAAGUGUAUAUUAUGGUAGUGACAAAUAAAUCUAGUUCUGAUUUUGAUUCUAAUAAGAAAUUUUUAAGAAAAUAAUAUACAAACAUGUAGAAUGUUGUUUUACAAAAGUUGCGAUUUACUAUGAGUAUUUCAUAUAUGUUAUAAAUUAUCUUAAAAU